AGUGAACGCUGGCGGUAGGCCUAACACAUGCAAGUCGAACGGCAGCACAGUAAGAGCUUGCUCUUACGGGUGGCGAGUGGCGGACGGGUGAGGAAUACAUCGGAAUCUACUUUUUCGUGGGGGAUAACGUAGGGAAACUUACGCUAAUACCGCAUACGACCUACGGGUGAAAGCAGGGGAUCUUCGGACCUUGCGCGAUUGAAUGAGCCGAUGUCGGAUUAGCUAGUUGGCGGGGUAAAGGCCCACCAAGGCGACGAUCCGUAGCUGGUCUGAGAGGAUGAGGGGCAACAUGGGGAAGGAGAUACGGCACAGACUCAUACGGGAGGCAGGAGUGGGGAAUAUUGAAAAAUGGGUGGAAGCAUGAGGAAGAAACGACGUGUGCGGGAGGAAGGCCGUCGGGUGGGAAACAGAGUGCGCCUGUGACGAAGGGUGAGUGAGGGGAAUGGGUAAAGAAGAAACGGCUAGUUAGGGG
This 472-nucleotide ribosomal RNA is filed under the name uncultured bacterium. RNAcentral describes it as "partial 16S ribosomal RNA". It matches the Rfam family "Bacterial small subunit ribosomal RNA", at positions 30 to 507 of the family's 1533-position model. The record is from RNAcentral.